GCCUAAAGCGUCCGUAGCCGGCUCUGUAAGUUUCCGGUUAAAUCCAUUAGCUUAACUGAUGGGCCGCCGGAAAAACUGCAAAGCUAGGGAGUGGGAGAGGUAGACGGUACUCGGUAGGAAGGGGUAAAAUCCUUUGAUCUAUUGAUGACCACCUGUGGCGAAGGCGGUCUACCAGAACACGUCCGACGGUGAGGGAUGAAAGCUGGGGGAGCAAACCGGAUUAGAUACCCGGGUAGUCCCAGCUGUAAACUAUGCAAACUCAGUGAUGCAUUGGCUUGUGGCCAAUGCAGUGCCGCAGAGAAGUCGUUAAGUUUGCCGCCUGGGAAGUACGUACGCAAGUAUGAAACUUAAAGGAAUUGGCGGGGGAGCACCACAAGGGGUGAAGCCUGCGGUUCAAUUGGAGUCAACGCCAGAAAUCUUACCCGGGGAGACAGCAGAAUGAAGGUCAAGCUGAAGACUUUACCAGACAAGCUGAGAAGUGGUGCAUGGCCGUCGCCAGCUCGUGCCGUGAGAUGUCCUGUUAAGUCAGGUAACGAGCGAGAUCCCUGCCUCUAGUUGCCACCAUUACUCUCAGGAGUAGUGGGGCGAAUUAGCGGGACUGCCGCAGUUAAUGCGGAGGAAGGAGGGGGCCACGGCAGGUCAGUAUGCCCCGAA
This 654-nucleotide ribosomal RNA is filed under the name uncultured archaeon. RNAcentral's name for it is "bacterial SSU rRNA". It matches the Rfam family "Archaeal small subunit ribosomal RNA", at positions 508 to 1160 of the family's 1478-position model. The record is from RNAcentral.